CCUACGGGUGGCAGCAGUGAGGAAUAUUGGUCAAUGGGCGUAAGCCUGAACCAGCCAAGUCGCGUGAGGGAUGAAGGUUCUAUGGAUCGUAAACCUCUUUUAUAAGGGAGUAAAGUGUGGGACGCGUCCUGUUUUGUAUGUACCUUAUGAAUAAGGAUCGGCUAACUCCGUGCCAGCAGCCGCGGUAAUACGGAGGAUUCGAGCGUUAUCCGGAUUUAUUGGGUUUAAAGGGUGCGUAGGCGGACUUGUAAGUCAGCGGUGAAAGUCUGUGGCUCAACCAUAGAACUGCCGUUGAAACUGGGGUUCUUGAGUAUGUGUGAGGCAGGCGGAAUGCGUGGUGUAGCGGUGAAAUGCAUAGAUAUCACGCAGAACCCCGAUUGCGAAGGCAGCCUGCCAAGCCAUGACUGACGCUGAUGCACGAAAGCGUGGGGAUCAAACAGGAUUAGAUACCCGUGUAGUC
RNAcentral lists this ribosomal RNA (460 nucleotides) under uncultured bacterium. Its description in RNAcentral is "partial 16S ribosomal RNA". It matches the Rfam family "Bacterial small subunit ribosomal RNA", at positions 338 to 795 of the family's 1533-position model. The record is from RNAcentral.